UGGGUAGUCCGCACGAGCGCACCUCAUCUUUAGUUGCCAGCAGUUCGGCUGGGCACUCUAAAGAAACUGCCUGGGAUGACCAGGAGGAAGGCGGGGAUGACGUCAAGUCCUCAUGGCCCUUAUGGGCUGGGCUACACACGUGCUACAAUGGCGGUUACAAUGGGAAGCAAAGGGGUGACCUGGAGCUAAUCCAUAAAGGCCGUCUCAGUUCGGAUUGUUCUCUGCAACUCGAGAACAUGAAGUCGGAAUCGCUAGUAAUCGUGGAUCAGCACGCCACGGUGAAUACGUUCCCGGGCCUUGUACACACCGCCCGUCACACCAUGGGAGUUGGUUUUACCCGAAGACGAUAUCCUAACCUUUUGGAGGGAGUCGGCCACGGUAGGGUCAGCGACUGGGGUGAAGUCGUAACAAGGUAGCCGUAGGGGAACCUGCGGCUGGAUCACCUCCUUUCU
Molecule: ribosomal RNA, 452 nt
Filed under: uncultured Alphaproteobacteria bacterium
Lineage: Bacteria; Pseudomonadati; Pseudomonadota; Alphaproteobacteria
Description: bacterial SSU rRNA
Rfam family: Bacterial small subunit ribosomal RNA
Source: RNAcentral